Molecule: unclassified non-coding RNA, 340 nt
Filed under: soil metagenome
Description: partial contains 5.8S ribosomal RNA, internal transcribed spacer 2, and large subunit ribosomal RNA
Rfam family: 5.8S ribosomal RNA (bases 1-120)
Source: RNAcentral
GAUGAAGAACGCAGCGAAAUGCGAUAAGUAGUGUGAAUUGCAGAAUUCAGUGAAUCAUCGAAUCUUUGAACGCACAUUGCGCCCUUUGGUAUUCCAAAGGGCAUGCCUGUUCGAGCGUCAUUUGUACCCUCAAGCUUUGCUUGGUGUUGGGCGUCUUGUCUCUAGCUUUGCUGGAGACUCGCCUUAAAGAAAUUGGCAGCCGGCCUACUGGUUUCGGAGCGCAGCACAAGUCGCACUCUCUAUCAGCAAAGGUCUAGCAUCCAUUAAGCCUUUUUUUCAACUUUUGACCUCGGAUCAGGUAGGGAUACCCGCUGAACUUAAGCAUAUCAAUAGCGGAGGA